Molecule: non-coding RNA, 115 nt
Organism: Triticum aestivum (bread wheat)
Lineage: Eukaryota; Viridiplantae; Streptophyta; Magnoliopsida; Poales; Poaceae
Source: Rfam
AAACUACUCCCUCCGUUCCGAACUACUUGUCGCAGGUGCGGAUGUAUCUAGAUGUAUUUUAAUUUUAGAUAUAUCCAUUUUUACGACGAGUAAUUUGGAACGAAAAGAGUACAUA